AUUUAUUCAUACAAAAUUCUUAAUUAUCUCGAAGAAUAUGAGGCAAAAAAAAAAAAAAAACGAGCGAUUCAUCUCGCAGUGAAGUGAACUGAGAAAGCGUUGAAAGGACACUUGGAUAGAGAAAUGAAACAUUGGGUCAGCAUUGUACGGCCUAACCUAUAAGUGAUCGUUUCUUGAACACGUUCGACCACGCGUCGAGAGCCCUCCAAUCGAAAACUUUUCUUCUCUUUUCUAUAGCGAAGUGCAAGAGUCUUGGGAAAAAAAAAAGAACUAAUUCGACAAAAAAGUGACUGAAUAAAAUCGAUCGCCGCAAUAGCAAUUCAAAAGAAUUUCGAAAGUACACAAACUCGGCCGGAAUACAGAAUGGACGUGAUCCGCAUAAGGAACUCGCAAGCAUGCGUAGGCGAAGGAAGAAAGGUCGAGAGAAGGAGGAUCAUCGAUUAAAAAAGGAAUCUCGGAUGAAAGAAAAAUUUUUUAUCGAAAAAUUAGAAAGAAAAAGGGAAGAAGAGGGAAGAUUGGGAGAAUUUUUUGUGGAAACGCCAUUAUUGAGUAUAUUUUGCGAGA
Long non-coding RNA from Apis florea (little honeybee), 564 nucleotides. NCBI's taxonomy places the organism in Eukaryota, Metazoa, Arthropoda, Insecta, Hymenoptera, Apidae. The record is from RefSeq and is a predicted model, not a curated record.